GAUCGUGUUUAUAAAAUCUCAUCUAUACACGAAUUGACUAGCAUUUUCUUUUGGCCCUGUUGACAAAGUUCUUCAAAAUAAUAUUCUCAUUACGAUGCAGAGUGACGGUGUGAAAAGAGAUUCUGACGUAGAGUAUGUCAAACGUUGGUCUCCAACAAAAGGAAUGCUACAUGAGGAGCUGCCAGAGGACCACAUCCUCAAGGUCAUCGUCAAGCUCUAACCGAGGUGGUGGAUCAUUCUGCCAUGAACAAAAUGAAUUCCUCCAAUCUUGCCAUUGUGUUUGGACCAAAUCUGUUAUGGCCAAAGGGACAAGCCUCUCUGUCCAGCAUGGGAUACCUCAAUAAUUUUGCUCGACUUCUUAUUGACAACUACAGUGAACUGUUUGACAGAUAGCAGGUCAUGACCUUUAGCUGGUACUCUGAUAAACUGGUUCCUGCCUACACACUGACACAAUACAAUUGUCCUCUGGUAACCAGUUCUUGUAAAAAUUUUGGCGCCAAGAAGUCAUUUUCAGUUUGAAUAUUUAGAAAAAUUACACCUUUCUUACGAGGACUACUACCUAGGAGGCAGCUAAGUGUUUUAAUCAGUUCUGUAAUCGUUUCAAUCUUUUUCGUUCUUUGUGUAAAUUAUAGUAUGUGUCCUCAUUAGGUUUAUAUCAAAUAAAUAAUGUCUGCAGAAUUAGGUCAUUUAUUUGAACUAGUCAAGAGGGGGAUUUAGAACAAUACAUGCACAUGUACUUUGUAAACAGUGAGUGUGGAGACAUAAAAUAACAGAUUUCUUUGAGUACAGUUCAUAAUGUGUCUUGCUAAAAAUUGAACUUUGCUUUCAACUAAAAUGUUUCUUUGAAGAAAUGACUCAUUGAAUGUUUUGUUAUGCAUAUUUAUAAUUAUUAUAUGAUUCCAUAUUGUUAUGUUUGAUAUCUGUGUAUACAUGGUAUAUACAAUUAGUGUUAUUUAUAACUGGGAUGUACAUAGAGGUGUGUAGUAUGUAGUAGUUCUUCCAGGAGCAGGUCUAAGUAGGGAUAGAAAAAUCCACAACAAGUUUUAUAUGAAUGAAAUACUCCAGUCUGACAAUUAUUACAUAUAAAAGAAUGAGUGUUUAGUUUUCAUUCACAGUCCUUUCUGAAAAAAUUACCGUGCUGUUGAUCAGCCUCAAAGGUACACGCCUAUGAAAAUGGCAGAUAUUGUCUUGAUGA
This is a long non-coding RNA of Saccostrea cuccullata (small rock oyster), 1195 nucleotides long. RefSeq lists it as uncharacterized. The transcript has 3 exons. The record is from RefSeq and is a predicted model, not a curated record. Lineage: Eukaryota; Metazoa; Mollusca; Bivalvia; Ostreida; Ostreidae.